GCUGACCUCUGACCACUUCAACCAAUAGAAUAUGGUGAAUGUUGCAUUGUGUCAGUUCCAGGCCUUGCGUUUGUGAGUAUAGGAAGUUCCUGCUGCAAUGUCAGAAGUCCAGGCUACUUUUCUUGGAAGAAAGACCAUGUGAAGAAGCAUGUUGUCAGAUGUGAUGAAGAAGCCAUUGCGGAUACUCAGCCCUGUUGAGACUUCACAUGGCUCCAGCCUCAGCAGCUAUAUGACCACAACAGCAUGAGAGACCCCAAAUGAGAACUGCCCAGAUGAAUUCAUUUACCCUGCAAAACUAAGAGGGAUAAUACUAAUGAAGCGUUGCCUCAAGCCACUAAGUUUUACCCUGAUGGGAACCAUCAAGCAGAACCUUCUGGACCUGUACUUCCGAGUUCACUAGGGCUGGGAGAACUCAGCCCAGGGAUCAGCAACGCAUGUACAAGUCUCUCCAGAACAGACAUAACACUGACUGUAUGCUCUACAACUAACUAAUCUUCAGUUUACAGAAGAGGAAACUAAAGGACAGGAAGUUGGCUGAUUCCUACAAUGUGCAGAAGUUACAGCAAAGGUCAAUGCCAGGACUGAGUUCCCUGUUUUUCUCACUCCCAUUCUUUAAGUUGGUACCUGGGCCCCUGGUGCGGGAUGGGUUCUUCAUAAACCUUUAUUAAAUAAGUGUUCAAUAAAUCAAUACUCAGUUUUCUCCACUGUAAA
Molecule: long non-coding RNA, 711 nt
Organism: Pan troglodytes (chimpanzee)
Lineage: Eukaryota; Metazoa; Chordata; Mammalia; Primates; Hominidae
Exons: 3
Source: RefSeq, a predicted model, not a curated record